GUUCAUCAACGCUGCACUCAA
RNAcentral lists this microRNA (21 nucleotides) under Corchorus capsularis. RNAcentral's name for it is "sRNA CCACVL1_15539". Lineage: Eukaryota; Viridiplantae; Streptophyta; Magnoliopsida; Malvales; Malvaceae. The record is from RNAcentral.